AUUUCAUCAGUCUCUAAUUCUUCUUUUUCUUUCUAUUUUUUUUAAUCUGUCAUUCAGGCUGUUUUGCGCUGGCAUGAUCUUAGCUCACUGUAACCUCCACCUCCUGGGCUCAAGCAAGCCUCUCACCUGAGCCUCCCAAGUACCUGGGGCUACAGAUGCAUGCCACCUUGCCCAGAGACAAUUCCUGGCACUGGCACUGAUGAAGAAGAUGGCAGCAAACGGAAGACUGGAACCAAAGAGGAGCCUUGAGAAGUCAGAAGUUCUGUUCCAGUGAGUUGAAUCAAGACUCACAGUUUAGAACUGGGAAGAAAGAGCUCUUCUCUUGUUAUGCUCUUGGGAUGCCCAAUGACUGAAUUACUAGUAACAAUUGGCCUGAAUCCUCCU
RNAcentral lists this long non-coding RNA (384 nucleotides) under Callithrix jacchus (white-tufted-ear marmoset). RNAcentral's name for it is "lncRNA (ENSCJAG00000086045.1)". The record is from RNAcentral. Lineage: Eukaryota; Metazoa; Chordata; Mammalia; Primates; Cebidae.